UUGAUUAAUUACAAUUUUAUUCGCCAGGGAACUACGAGCGUCAGCUUAAAACCCAAAGGACUUGGCGGUGCCCUACACCUCCUAGAGGAGCCUGUUCUAUAAUCGAUGAUCCACGAUACACCUCACCGUUUCUUGCCAAAACCGCCUAUAUACCGCCGUCUCCAACUUACCCUAUGAAGGAUUUACAGUAAGUUCAAAGAUCACUCAUCAGAACGUCAGGUCAAGGUGUAGCGAAUGAAACGGGAAGAAAUGGGCUACAUUUUCUAUUUUAGAUCAUACGGACAAUCAGUAUGAAACCUGAUUAUGAAGGAGGAUUUAGCAGUAAAAAGAAAUCAGCAAGUUCUUUUUAAGUCGGACCUAGGGCGCGUACACACCGCCCGUCACCCUCUUCAACUCAUUUCACCCUAUUUAUAAUAAAAUAAUUGGAGAUAAGAAGAGGCAAGUCGUAACAUGGUAAGUAUACCGGAAGGUGUACUUGGAAC
RNAcentral lists this ribosomal RNA (482 nucleotides) under Oreolalax rugosus (warty toothed toad). RNAcentral's name for it is "partial 12S ribosomal RNA". It matches the Rfam family "Bacterial small subunit ribosomal RNA", at positions 848 to 1524 of the family's 1533-position model. The record is from RNAcentral. Lineage: Eukaryota; Metazoa; Chordata; Amphibia; Anura; Megophryidae.